RNAcentral lists this ribosomal RNA (393 nucleotides) under uncultured bacterium. RNAcentral describes it as "partial 16S ribosomal RNA". It matches the Rfam family "Bacterial small subunit ribosomal RNA", at positions 523 to 918 of the family's 1533-position model. The record is from RNAcentral.
AUACGGAGGAUCCGAGCGUUAUCCGGAUUUAUUGGGUUUAAAGGGAGCGUAGAUGGAUGUUUAAGUCAGUUGUGAAAGUUUGCGGCUCAACCGUAAAAUUGCAGUUGAUACUGGAUAUCUUGAGUGCAGUUGAGGCAGGCGGAAUUCGUGGUGUAGCGGUGAAAUGCUUAGAUAUCACGAAGAACUCCGAUUGCGAAGGCAGCCUGCUAAGCUGCAACUGACAUUGAGGCUCGAAAGUGUGGGUAUCAAACAGGAUUAGAUACCCUGGUAGUCCACACGGUAAACGAUGAAUACUCGCUGUUUGCGAUAUACGGCAAGCGGCCAAGCGAAAGCGUUAAGUAUUCCACCUGGGGAGUACGCCGGCAACGGUGAAACUCAAAGGAAUUGGCGGGG